Molecule: ribosomal RNA, 253 nt
Filed under: uncultured bacterium
Lineage: Bacteria
Description: partial 16S ribosomal RNA
Rfam family: Bacterial small subunit ribosomal RNA
Source: RNAcentral
UACGGGGGGGGCAAGCGUUGUUCGGAAUUACUGGGCGUAAAGGGCUCGUAGGCGGCCAACUAAGUCAGACGUGAAAUCCCCAGGCUCAACCUGGGAACUGCGUCUGAUACUGGAUGGCUUGAAUCCGGGAGAGGGAUGCAGAAUUCCAGGUGUAGCGGUGAAAUGCGUAGAUAUCUGGAGGAAUACCGGUGGCGAAGGCGGCAUCCUGGACCGGCAUUGACGCUGAGACACGAAAGCCAGGGGAGCGAACGGG